UCUUUUUAAAGAUUUUGCUUAAAAGGGAAGUUUGGUGAAAGUCCGACGCUGUCCCGCAACUGUAAAUACUUGCUACGUUUGUAUAUCCACUGCCUAAUUAGGUGGGAAGGGCGAGCUAGCGAUAAGUAUGAGCCAGGAGACCUGCCUAUAGCAA
RNAcentral lists this non-coding RNA (154 nucleotides) under Kurthia senegalensis. Lineage: Bacteria; Bacillati; Bacillota; Bacilli; Caryophanales; Caryophanaceae. The record is from RNAcentral.